UACGGAGGAUGCAAGCGUUAUCCGGAAUGAUUGGGCGUAAGGCGUCCGCAGGUGGCACUUCAAGUCUGUCGUCAAAGACCGGGGCUUAACCCUGGAAAGGCGAUGGAAACUGAAAGGCUAGAGAGAGGUAGGGGUAGAGGGAAUUCCCAGUGUAGCGGUGAAAUGCGUAGAGAUUGGGAAGAACAUCGGUGGCGAAAGCGCUCUACUGGACCUCAUCUGACACUCAGGGACGAAAGCUAGGGGAGCGAAUGGG
Molecule: ribosomal RNA, 253 nt
Filed under: uncultured bacterium
Lineage: Bacteria
Description: partial 16S ribosomal RNA
Rfam family: Bacterial small subunit ribosomal RNA
Source: RNAcentral